AUUGAACGCUGGCGGCAGGCCUAACACAUGCAAGUCGAACGAGUGGCGGACGGGUGUGUAAUGUCUGGGAAACUGCCCGAUGGAGGGGGAUAACUACUGGAAACGGUAGCUAAUACCGCAUAACCGCGGAUGUGCACAGAUGGGAUUAGCUAGUAGGUGGGGUAAUGGCUCACCUAGGCGACGAUCCCUAGCUGGUCUGAGGGGAUGACCAGCCACACUGGAACUGAGACACGGUCCAGACUCCUACGGGAGGCAGCAGUGGGGAAUAUUGCACAAUGGGCGCAAGCCUGAUGCAGCAAUGCCGCGUGUAUGAAGAAGGCCUUCGGGUUGUAAAGUACUUUCAGCGGGGAGGCGUUACCCGCAGAAGAAGCACCGGCUAACUCCGUGCCAGCAGCCGCGGUAAUUC
Molecule: ribosomal RNA, 406 nt
Filed under: uncultured bacterium
Lineage: Bacteria
Description: partial 16S ribosomal RNA
Rfam family: Bacterial small subunit ribosomal RNA
Source: RNAcentral